RNAcentral lists this transfer RNA (83 nucleotides) under Trichoderma citrinoviride. It matches the Rfam family "tRNA". Rfam says of the family: Transfer RNA (tRNA) molecules are approximately 80 nucleotides in length. Their secondary structure includes four short double-helical elements and three loops (D, anti-codon, and T loops). Further hydrogen bonds mediate the characteristic L-shaped molecular structure. tRNAs have two regions of fundamental functional importance: the anti-codon, which is responsible for specific mRNA codon recognition, and the 3' end, to which the tRNAs corresponding amino acid is attached (by aminoacyl-tRNA synthetases). tRNAs cope with the degeneracy of the genetic code in two manners: having more than one tRNA (with a specific anti-codon) for a particular amino acid; and 'wobble' base-pairing, i.e. permitting non-standard base-pairing at the 3rd anti-codon position. Lineage: Eukaryota; Fungi; Ascomycota; Sordariomycetes; Hypocreales; Hypocreaceae. The record is from Rfam by way of RNAcentral.
UCCGAUAUGGUGUAGUGGCUAACAUCGCUCGCUCUCAUUCAACGAGCGCCGAGCAGCCCUGGGUUCGAUUCCCAGUAUCGGAG